Molecule: ribosomal RNA, 1343 nt
Filed under: uncultured bacterium
Lineage: Bacteria
Description: 16S ribosomal RNA
Rfam family: Bacterial small subunit ribosomal RNA
Source: RNAcentral
GACGAACGCUGGCGGCGUGCUUAACACAUGCAAGUCGAACGGAAAGGCCCUGCUUUUGUGGGGUGCUCGAGUGGCGAACGGGUGAGUAACACGUGAGUAACCUGCCCUUGACUUUGGGAUAACUUCAGGAAACUGGGGCUAAUACCGGAUAGGAGCUCCUGCUGCAUGGUGGGGGUUGGAAAGUUUCGGCGGUUGGGGAUGGACUCGCGGCUUAUCAGCUUGUUGGUGGGGUAGUGGCUUACCAAGGCUUUGACGGGUAGCCGGCCUGAGAGGGUGACCGGCCACAUUGGGACUGAGAUACGGCCCAGACUCCUACGGGAGGCAGCAGUGGGGAAUAUUGCACAAUGGGCGGAAGCCUGAUGCAGCAACGCCGCGUGCGGGAUGACGGCCUUCGGGUUGUAAACCGCUUUCGCCUGUGACGAAGCGUGAGUGACGGUAAUGGGUAAAGAAGCACCGGCUAACUACGUGCCAGCAGCCGCGGUGAUACGUAAGGUGCGAGCGUUGUCCGGAUUUAUUGGGCGUAAAGGGCUCGUAGGUGGUUGAUCGCGUCGGAAGUGUAAUCUUGGGGCUUAACCCUGAGCGUGCUUUCGAUACGGGUUGACUUGAGGAAGGUAGGGGAGAAUGGAAUUCCUGGUGGAGCGGUGGAAUGCGCAGAUAUCAGGAGGAACACCAGUGGCGAAGGCGGUUCUCUGGGCCUUUCCUGACGCUGAGGAGCGAAAGCGUGGGGAGCGAACAGGCUUAGAUACCCUGGUAGUCCACGCUGUAAACGGUGGGUACUAGGUGUGGGGUCCAUUCCACGGGUUCCGUGCCGUAGCUAACGCUUUAAGUACCCCGCCUGGGGAGUACGGCCGCAAGGCUAAAACUCAAAGGAAUUGACGGGGCCCCGCACAAGCGGCGGAGCAUGCGGAUUAAUUCGAUGCAACGCGUAGAACCUUACCUGGGUUUGACAUGGAUCGGGAGCGCUCAGAGAUGGGUGUGCCUCUUUUGGGGUCGGUUCACAGGUGGUGCAUGGCUGUCGUCAGCUCGUGUCGUGAGAUGUUGGGUUAAGUCCCGCAACGAGCGCAACCCUUGUUCACUGUUGCCAGCACGUUAUGGUGGGGACUCAGUGGAGACCGCCGGGGUCAACUCGGAGGAAGGUGGGGAUGACGUCAAGUCAUCAUGCCCCUUAUGUCCAGGGCUUCACGCAUGCUACAAUGGCUGGUACAGAGAGUGGCGAGCCUGUGAGGGUGAGCGAAUCUCGGAAAGCCGGUCUCAGUUCGGAUUGGGGUCUGCAACUCGACCUCAUGAAGUCGGAGUCGCUAGUAAUCGCAGAUCAGCAACGCUGCGGUGAAUACGUUCCCGGG